AAGUUCCAAAAAGUCAGCAAACUCAGAAAAUGACAGUCACAGCUACCCAUGCGUGACGCCCCCAUGUGGGCAGGACGUGGCUACGGGGUAAGAAGCGUGUGCAGGCCACCUCCCGCUGCUGUGGCCCAGCCCCACCACGGUGCCUGCACAGAGGAGGUCCCUGGUUAAUAACAUGUCUGAGCACUGCAUGAGUUAGGUCUCUGGGGCUCCAGUAAGUGACGUUCAGAAAUUGAAGGGUCGUUAAGCUCCCCCCCCUCAGGCCUGCCCUCUGCUCCCUCUCUCUGCAGGCAAGGGGGGGGUCUCCACUGAGAGAAGGGGACACGGAGCUCAGAGGGGCCUGGCUGCUUUGCCGGCAUCCCCAGCCCUUGCUCUCCAAACCUGCCCCAUCAAAUCCUCGCAAAGCCGCCACCCGGAAGCCCCGGGGUCCUCGUACUGCCAAUGGGAAGAAAAAGCUGGAUCCCUCCCACAAACAACAAAACAAAGAAAACCCACACCCACUAGCCCCUGAGUGUCUCUGGUGGUGCUUGGAGGGAGCGUGACAUGGGCCCCUAGACAGCCGUCUGGAAUGCACCUGCCCAACUCAGCCUGUAGACAGAGCAGUAGGUGGACCCACUGCUGCAGGACACCUCCAGGGCCAGCAUUUUGGUCUCCAGAGCAGGCCACUGGUGUGGCUAGGGGACCCCCAGCGGACCCCUAUGUGGUCAGGGAGUGGCUCCUUGGCAUGGGACCUCCAGGAAGCCCCGGGUGCAUCUGGGGCCUGGCUGGGUGGGUGGAGGAGCCCGGCACUUUGCAUCCAAGUUCCGAGGCCGAUGGCACAGGAAACCCCUCCUGAAAGGUUCCUGGGAGGUUCCUGUGAACCUGUCCUAGGAAAGGUUUCCCUCCCACCGGGCCAGGGCCAGAGUAGGGCCAGACUCCAAGGGGAGAGACCCCCGGUACAUCUCUACCGUCCCGACAGCUGGCAGGGGCCGUGAGGAGGGGUCACUCCGUGCACACCUGCCCUCCCAGAUGUGUGAGCUCCUGGGCCUCGCCCCGGCAGCCAGCAACCCCUGCCGGCGUGGGAGCCCCCGCAGGCGGCGCCAGGUGCGCCCCCCGCUCCGAGCCCCUAUCUCAGCCUGGUGCUCCGAGGAUCCCGGCCGCGGCCUCCCCGCCCUACCCCCAGGGAGGCUCGGCUGGGCCGAACAAAGCAGAGGCGCAGCUAGGAGGGCAGCAUCCCCCCCACGCCUCGCUGACCUGCAUCCCGACUCUGGCCCUGGCACGCCCCAUCUUCCAGAUCCCCGGCUCCGGUGGGAGGGGGCUCAGGACCAAGCUCUGGGCCAACCACUCAGGAGCGCGCCAGGCACCGCUGCCCGGGUCGGGAGCGCGGAGGACGAGGGGGCGGGGACGCGAUCCGUGCGCCCCCCGCCCAGCGCGGGGGCCGUUCCGGGCGGUGCCCCCGCUCGUCUUCCCGGGCGCGGCGCACGAGGCUCCCCCCACUUCGGCCCGGCGCAGGGGGACUCGGAGCUGCCGGUGAAGCUGAACACAGGGUAGGCAGCCGACCAAGGUGCCACAGCCGGGCGCUGGAAGCCAGGAGAUCCAAAUGCAAGCCCAUGGUCUGCACAAAGACAAAACAAACCGAAGAAAAGCAUCAGGGAGACAGAGUUUGUUCCCAGCUGGGCGUGGAAAGAUCCGCAGAGGAGGGAGAACCUUCUGCUCCCGUCAAGACAUUCCCUGUCUGUGCCCCUUCUGCUCGAACCUGGGCAAGCUUGUGGCUGCUCUGGCCAGUGGACUGUGGCAGGUUGAUGCCAUGUGACUUACAAGGCUGGGUCUUAAGUAGGAUUCAGCUCUUUCUGAAGGCUCCCCUGGAACCCGGCCACCCUGUGUGAGAAAGCCCAGGCCAUUUGAGGGGCCACUUGAGUGUUUUCUGGCCCACAAUAGCUAAUGAACCAGACAUAAGGUCUCAGCCAGUAGCCAGGUGUGAGAGCCUGCCUUUGAGCCACCCCCAGGGGUAAUACGUAGAACCGAGGUGGGCUGUCCCCACCGAGUCCCAGCCAAGUUGCAGAUUCAUGGGCAAAACAGAUGUUGUUGGGCUUCCCUGGUGGCGCAGUGGCUAAGAAUCCGCCUGCCAAUGCAGGAGACACAGGUUCGAGCCCUGGUCCGGGAAGAUCCCACAUGCCGUGGAGCAACAAAGCCCGUGCGCCACAACUACUGAGCCUGUGCUCUACAGUCCGUGCUCUGCAACACGAGAAGCCACCGUAAUGAGAAGCCUGCGCACUGCAAUGAAGAGUAGCCCCCCGCUCGCCACAACAAGAGAAAGCCCGCACGCAGCAACGAAGACCCAACGCAACCAAAAAUAAACAAAUAA
Balaenoptera acutorostrata (minke whale) is the source of this 2341-nucleotide long non-coding RNA. RefSeq lists it as uncharacterized. The transcript is spliced from 3 exons. NCBI's taxonomy places the organism in Eukaryota, Metazoa, Chordata, Mammalia, Artiodactyla, Balaenopteridae. The record is from RefSeq and is a predicted model, not a curated record.